This is a long non-coding RNA of Scylla paramamosain (green mud crab), 570 nucleotides long. RefSeq lists it as uncharacterized. NCBI's taxonomy places the organism in Eukaryota, Metazoa, Arthropoda, Malacostraca, Decapoda, Portunidae. The record is from RefSeq and is a predicted model, not a curated record. The transcript has 2 exons.
GAGAGAGAGAGAGAGAGAGAGAGAGAGAGAGAGAGAGAGAGAGAGAGAGAGAGAGAUGAAGGAGUAUUGCACACACACACACACUCUCUCUCUCACCAACCCACCCACCCAUCCACAGACCCCCAAAGUGAUAGAAAGAAGGAAGAGAAGAUAGAUAAUAAUAAGGAGGAAAGAAAGAGAAGAGAGAGAGAAGACAACAAAGAAGGAAGAGGACAUGAGAGAAGAAUGAGGAUAAUAGAAGAGGAAGAAAAAAAGAAAUGAGAGAAAGAUAGAAAAGAUAAAUAAAAGAAAAAUAAAUCCUCCCCCUGCCCCCUUCUCUCUCUCUCUCUCUCUCUCUCUCUCUCUCUCUCUCUCUCUCUCUCUCUCUCUCUCUCUCUCUCUCUCUCUCUCUCUCUCUCCCCCACAAUCCACAAACCCACAGUAUGUCUCCCACAGUAUGUUGACAAACCUAGUCACUCCCCACAGCCUCUCACAAAUAUACCUCUCUCUCUCUCUCUCUCUCUCUCUCUCUCUCUCUCUCUCUCUCUCUCUCUCUCUCUCUCUCUCUCUCUCUCUCUCUCUCUCUCUCUC